CACGUAGGGGGCAAGCGUUGUCCGGAUUUAUUGGGCGUAAAGAGCUCGUAGGCGGUUCGGUAAGUCGGGUGUGAAACCCCCAGGCUCAACCUGGAGACGCCACCCGAUACUGCUGUGACUAGAGUCCGGUAGGGGAGCGUGGAAUUCCUGGUGUAGCGGUGAAAUGCGCAGAUAUCAGGAGGAACACCAGCGGCGAAGGCGGCGCUCUGGGCCGGAACUGACGCUGAGGAGCGAAAGCGUGGGGAGCAAACAGG
This 254-nucleotide ribosomal RNA is filed under the name uncultured bacterium. RNAcentral describes it as "partial 16S ribosomal RNA". It matches the Rfam family "Bacterial small subunit ribosomal RNA", at positions 524 to 776 of the family's 1533-position model. The record is from RNAcentral.